UAAAUUCACUUUUACUAUGGUGACAAUCCC
This 30-nucleotide non-coding RNA is filed under the name Mus musculus (house mouse). Lineage: Eukaryota; Metazoa; Chordata; Mammalia; Rodentia; Muridae. The record is from RNAcentral.